Physella acuta is the source of this 681-nucleotide long non-coding RNA. RefSeq lists it as uncharacterized. The record is from RefSeq and is a predicted model, not a curated record. Lineage: Eukaryota; Metazoa; Mollusca; Gastropoda; Physidae.
GUUUAAAAGUAGCCUAAGCUUAUUUUUAUUCACGUGGACUGCCCACGUAAUAAAUGAUGUAGGCAUAGACUAUAUAAGCACAACGUAGUGUCGGUUUUUAAACUAUUUCUUGUUAGAACUUUAAUAAACUAUCGUUUGCAGGUUGCAGCCUUCAAGUUGAGAUAACCAAGAUGGCCACAUUAAAAGAACGGUGGAUGGAGUUUGUAAGAAAACAAUCUGAGAAGACUGCCAGAGAUCCAAACUCCAAGGCAAAGGUCAUGGCGGGUGUGGUCAUCUUACUAUUGAUCUGGACACAGAUACCUAAAGCCCAAGGCUCUGCCAUCGCAUGUGGACCUUGUGUAACCUGGGCGGCCCAAUGGUGUACAGGACUUAUUGCAGCAGGGGGAGCCUGUGCCCCAGUAGCAUUUAUUCCCCCAGCUCUCUGUGCCUGUCUCUUGGCUUCUGGAGGACUGAUAUGUGCUGGAGCAGCAACAACUUGCGCAGUUGUCUGCCUUAUUCCUACACCAUAAACAAUACACAUUUUGAAAUCAUUAUAAAAGUACCAUUUUUUAUGGCUCUGCACCAAAUGUUGCACUGACCAUUAUCUUGAAUUUUUACUUCUUUUCAUAAGCUAGUAACAUAUGUUUAAAGAGAGCCACGCUGUUGUUGUGAGGCUAGUAGAAAUAAAAAUGUUAAACAUGA